RNAcentral lists this ribosomal RNA (507 nucleotides) under uncultured bacterium. RNAcentral's name for it is "bacterial SSU rRNA". It matches the Rfam family "Bacterial small subunit ribosomal RNA", at positions 15 to 518 of the family's 1533-position model. The record is from RNAcentral.
GAUCCUGGCUUAGGAUGAACGCUAGCGGCAGGCUUAACACAUGCAAGUCGAGGGGCAUCGGGAGUAGCAAUACUGCCGGCGACCGGCGCAAGGGUGCGUAACGCGUGAGCAACAUGCCCGUAUCAGGGGGAUAAUCCAUGGAAACGUGGUCUAAUACCCCAUAGUAAUUAUGUAAGGCAUCUUAUAUAAUUUAAAGCUUUGGUGGAUACGGAUUGGCUCGCGUGACAUUAGCUGGAUGGUAAGGUAACGGCUUACCAUGGCUACGAUGUCUAGGGGUUCUGAGAGGAAGGUCCCCCACACUGGAACUGAGACACGGUCCAGACUCCUACGGGAGGCAGCAGUGAGGAAUAUUGGACAAUGGAUGGAAAUCUGAUCCAGCCAUGCCGCGUGCAGGAAGACGGCCCUAUGGGUUGUAAACUGCUUUUGUAUGGGAGCAAUAAGGGCUACGUGUAGUCCGAUGAGAGUACCAUACGAAUAAGCACCGGCUAACUCCGUGCCAGCCGCAGC